Molecule: long non-coding RNA, 238 nt
Organism: Coregonus clupeaformis (lake whitefish)
Lineage: Eukaryota; Metazoa; Chordata; Actinopteri; Salmoniformes; Salmonidae
Exons: 3
Source: RefSeq, a predicted model, not a curated record
AGACCCUCACACUAUGACUAUACAGUGCAGAAAGGAUUGACAUUACAAUGAUGAUUAGACAUUGGACAAUGUUUUUGUUUUACGCCAACUUCGUUUGUGCAUUGACUAUGGACAUUGUUCAACCAGACCCUGGGAUUUGUACUGGGAUUGGAGUUUCAGACCUGUUGGGUGAUCAGAUUAAGCUUAUUUUUGUCAUCAUUCUAUCUUGCCUGACAACUGCUGUGAUUCUGAGUGUGGU